Molecule: ribosomal RNA, 353 nt
Filed under: Cephalops cochleatus
Lineage: Eukaryota; Metazoa; Arthropoda; Insecta; Diptera; Pipunculidae
Description: partial 12S ribosomal RNA
Source: RNAcentral
AAAAAUUUAAUUUAAUAUAUUAAAGUAGUAUUAGUUAUGGUCUUGAAAUUUAAAAAAUUUGGCGGUAUUUUAGUCUAUUCAGAGGAACCUGUUUUGUAAUCGAUAGUCCACGUUGUACCUUACUUAAUUUUGUUAUAGUUUAUAUAUCGUUGUUUAUAGAAUAUUUUAUAAAAAUAAUAAUUUUCUUAAUUUUAUAGUUUUAAAUAUAUCAGAUCAAGAUGUAGCUUAUAAUUAAGUUUAUAAUGGGUUACAUUUAUAUUAAUAUAUGGAAAUUAAUUUGUAAUAUUUAAUGGAAAUUGGAUUUGAUAGUAAAUUUAUAAAGAUAAAUAAUUUGAUUUUAGCUCUAAAAUAUG